RNAcentral lists this ribosomal RNA (649 nucleotides) under uncultured bacterium. Its description in RNAcentral is "bacterial SSU rRNA". It matches the Rfam family "Bacterial small subunit ribosomal RNA", at positions 60 to 710 of the family's 1533-position model. The record is from RNAcentral.
AGUCGAACGGGAAUUACUUUAUUGAAACUUCGGUCGAUUUAAUUUAAUUCUAGUGGCGGACGGGUGAGUAACGCGUGGGUAACCUGCCUUAUACAGGGGGAUAACAGUCAGAAAUGGCUGCUAAUACCGCAUAAGCGCACAGAGCUGCAUGGCUCAGUGUGAAAAACUCCGGUGGUAUAAGAUGGACCCGCGUUGGAUUAGCUUGUUGGUGGGGUAACGGCCCACCAAGGCGACGAUCCAUAGCCGGCCUGAGAGGGUGAACGGCCACAUUGGGACUGAGACACGGCCCAGACUCCUACGGGAGGCAGCAGUGGGGAAUAUUGCACAAUGGGGGAAACCCUGAUGCAGCGACGCCGCGUGAAGGAAGAAGUAUCUCGGUAUGUAAACUUCUAUCAGCAGGGAAGAUAGUGACGGUACCUGACUAAGAAGCCCCGGCUAACUACGUGCCAGCAGCCGCGGUAAUACGUAGGGGGCAAGCGUUAUCCGGAUUUACUGGGUGUAAAGGGAGCGUAGACGGUGUGGCAAGUCUGAUGUGAAAGGCAUGGGCUCAACCUGUGGACUGCAUUGGAAACUGUCAUACUUGAGUGCCGGAGGGGUAAGCGGAAUUCCUAGUGUAGCGGUGAAAUGCGUAGAUAUUAGGAGGAACACC